GAUCAUGGCUCAGAACGAACGCUGGCGGCACGCCUAACACAUGCAAGUCGAGCGCACCUUCGGGUGAGCGGCGGACGGGUUAGUAACGCGUGGGAACAUACCCUUCACUACGGAAUAGCCUCGGGAAACUGAGAGUAAUACCGUAUACGUCCUCCGGGAGAAAGAUUUAUCGGUGAAGGAUUGGCCCGCGUUGGAUUAGGUAGUUGGUGAGGUAAUGGCUCACCAAGCCGACGAUCCAUAGCUGGUUUGAGAGGAUGAUCAGCCACACUGGGACUGAGACGCGGCCCAGACUCCUACGGGAGGCAGCAGUGGGGAAUCUUAGACAAUGGGGGAAACCCUGAUCUAGCCAUGCCGCGUGAGUGACGAAGGUCUUAGGAUCGUAAAGCUCUUUCAACUGUGAAGAUAAUGACGGUAGCAGUAGAAGAAACCCCGGCUAACUCCGUGCCAGCAGCCGCGGUAAUACGGAGGGGGUUAG
RNAcentral lists this ribosomal RNA (475 nucleotides) under uncultured bacterium. Its description in RNAcentral is "bacterial SSU rRNA". It matches the Rfam family "Bacterial small subunit ribosomal RNA", at positions 15 to 538 of the family's 1533-position model. The record is from RNAcentral.